This is a long non-coding RNA of Peromyscus eremicus (cactus mouse), 695 nucleotides long. RefSeq lists it as uncharacterized. The record is from RefSeq and is a predicted model, not a curated record. The transcript is spliced from 3 exons. Lineage: Eukaryota; Metazoa; Chordata; Mammalia; Rodentia; Cricetidae.
AGUUAAGCUCAGGGUUGCCACUUUGCCUUUGUAUAGGAUGUGCAGCUCCAGCAUGCAGAAUCCCGGGAAAAAAAUUAUGUCUUUAGGACCAGCUUGAAUAAAGUGAACCAUGCAUUUUUGAAAUGUGAUGUGUGCUUCAAGCGGCACCUUCUAUGCCUCUAUUCUGAUGUCACGUGCAUCUUUGAACAACCAGAAUGGCUGUCACAUGAACCAAAGCUAUCAAGGACUUUCUGCCCAUCUACAGACAUAAAUAUUAUUUAUUCAUACACUUCUAGUCUAUAGGAAAUGCCACCAAUUUCUUCCAUCUGCAAGUAGAGUGCAUGGAUACUGGUAGCUCCCUAAAACUGUUUGGUUUCCGAGGGUUUCCUUUGAAGUAUGGUGUACAGAUGUGAGUGUGUGCCAUUGUGUACAUGUGGAGAUCAAAAGACAACUUGCAGGAGUUAUUUCUCUCCACUCAUUGUGUGAGUUCUGCAGAUUGACGUCAGGGCGUUGGGCUUGAUGAUGGGGGGCUGAGCCAUCUUUCUGGCCCAUAUGCUGUGAUGUUAACAACUAUAUUACAAGUCUUUGGCUUUAUGUUCAUGUAAAGUGCUAUUCGGUAUGCAUGCAAUUUAUAACCCCCUGAAAUGUUGAGAAACAAAUCUAUGGUUUCUUUGAAUCAAAUUAAAAAUCUCAAAAGCUUUGGGUAAUAAGCCUGA